AAGUGUUGGAAAAAUGGGCGUAGCAGGCGGGAUUAUUCUAGAAGCCCAGACAGGCUACAAAGCAGUACCUAUACAAGCAAACAAGCAAGUGUACGGAGGAAGCAUGAUGAUCGAGAAGCGUAUAAAGAAGAUUUUUCUCACAGCUCCAGUAGAAAACACCAAAAAUCACAUGAUCGUAAGAGUCCUCACAGAGAGAGAAUUGAGCGUAAUUUAGACCCUGGAAAACGGAGGCGAAGGGAAACAUACCAGGAUCAUAGACGCAAUGAGUUCGAGGACAGAUAUAAUCCUUCAGAAUCUCAUGAUAUCUACGAAGAUAACGUCUAACUGUCAUGUAGAAGUGAAACAAACAGGUUUCUGCAGUUUCAUCUACAUCUGUAUCCUCCUCUGUAUCCUUAAAAUGAUUAUUCUAUUAUUGCUUAUAGUUAAGUUUCUUUUCAUUGUUA
Molecule: long non-coding RNA, 443 nt
Organism: Ipomoea triloba (trilobed morning glory)
Lineage: Eukaryota; Viridiplantae; Streptophyta; Magnoliopsida; Solanales; Convolvulaceae
Exons: 2
Source: RefSeq, a predicted model, not a curated record